AGUUAAAUUAGUAUGUAUCUUGAAAAUACAAUUUAAAAUUAAUUUUUUAUUAACUU
This 56-nucleotide transfer RNA is filed under the name Muirodelphax atratus. Its description in RNAcentral is "tRNA-Ser". The record is from RNAcentral. Lineage: Eukaryota; Metazoa; Arthropoda; Insecta; Hemiptera; Delphacidae.